AUGAUUUCAAAGCUCUAAUAUAUGAAUUCAUGCCUAAUGGGAGCUUGGAGAAAUGGUUACAUAAGGAAGAUGGACAAGAAACAGAACCAAGAAAUCUGAGACUAAUACAAAGGCUUAACAUUGCUAUUGAUAUUGCUUCUGCAAUUGAGUACCUUCAUAAUGGCUGCCCAUCAACAAUUAUCCAUGGUGAUCUAAAGCCAAGUAAUGUUCUUUU
RNAcentral lists this unclassified non-coding RNA (214 nucleotides) under Hevea brasiliensis (rubber tree). The record is from RNAcentral. Lineage: Eukaryota; Viridiplantae; Streptophyta; Magnoliopsida; Malpighiales; Euphorbiaceae.